CUGGUCCAAAGUAUUGGCGUUGUAAUUAAGCCCAAGUAAUAAAAUCCUAUGUCAUGUUGAAGCCCAAACACAGUCCACCUUCUUAGAUUUGAACGCUAGGGUUUUCUCUGUGUAUAAAGUGUUCUUCUAUUUCAGAUGGUAGUUUGAGGCGGUGAAGACAAAAAUGCAUUCCUGAGAUGAUUGUAAUGCAAUAAUUUUCAUCAAUUUGAUGACUACUAAUCUAAUAGAGGAUCACAAGUUUGUGUAGCACCCAACGAACUCGUGUGGAAACUCUUUGGCUCAAGGACAAUUUCUCAAUUACACAACUGCGGACUCAAAUUGAUGCUUUAAUGUUCUUUCUUGUGAUCUAGGUUUGAUAUUUUGAUAGCCAAUGCAUCAUGUUAUAUGGAUUGGUUCUGGAUUUAUUAUAAUGUUUUCAUUUCUGAGUGUAUUUACAUUGGUAGCAGAUGUGCUAUAUUGGAUUUUAAGAGUUUCCACAUUAUAUGUAAUGAUUAACUACAUCACAAAGAUUGUAAUUAUAUAUUUUCAUAUUUAUGGAUGAAGUACUAUUUUAUUGA
Molecule: long non-coding RNA, 557 nt
Organism: Solanum pennellii
Lineage: Eukaryota; Viridiplantae; Streptophyta; Magnoliopsida; Solanales; Solanaceae
Exons: 2
Source: RefSeq, a predicted model, not a curated record